GACGAACCGUGCGAACGUUAUUCGGAAUCACUGGGCUUAAAGCGCGUGUAGGCGGGGCGGCACGUCGGUCGCUGAAAUCCCCCGGCUCAACCGGGGAAGGGGCGCCGAUACGACCGCCCUCGAGGGACGUAGGGGGAGCUGGAACUUCCGGUGGAGCGGUGAAAUGCGUUGAGAUCGUGAGGAACGCCCGCGGCGAAAGCGCGUCCCUGGACCCCACCUGACGCUGAGACGCGAAAGCCAGGGGAGCGAACGGG
Molecule: ribosomal RNA, 254 nt
Filed under: uncultured bacterium
Lineage: Bacteria
Description: partial 16S ribosomal RNA
Rfam family: Bacterial small subunit ribosomal RNA
Source: RNAcentral